UUAUUUUUUCUUUUUCUUUUUCUCUCUCCUCUCCUCUCCUCUUCUACCAAUCCUAGAUCUAUUGAGAUCAAACGAAAUCUACCAAAAACUCAGAAGCUACCUCCUCUAUACGCGUAUUUCAUAGAUCAGAUCUCAUAUUUCAGAAAUCAAACCCAAUCUUCACUAACCCGAAAUUCGUCUCCAUCCCUAGAUCGAUAUGUGAUUUUCUCCUUCAUAAACUCUAACUAUUCUCUGGUUGAAUUCUAUCCAACCCAAAGAGAUGAAAACAUUCCCAAGUAUCAUUUAUGAUCAAGAAAAACCUCAGUGAAAAGAGGAGACUAAGCAGACCCAUUCCUUAUUGGAUCCGUGCGAAACUGAUAACACCGUCAGUAUAUCUAUGCAUGAGCAUCUCUAGAAAUGGAAAAGAAGAUGGAAAGAAAUUGUUCUUGGGGUGUGAAGUGAUUAUCCCUUCAUAAUGAAGAAGGGUUGUACCACCAAAAGAUAUUUCCCUGGCAUCGGUGUUCGGCUUAGGAUAUGUAGUAGGGGUUCUCUUUGAGGAAUCUUUAGCAUUCAAUACAAGUGGAGUUGGAUUAUUGAUGGUUGUUCGCUUAUGGGUUAUCAGAAGCAUCAUGCUUAAUGGGGACAAAGGAUGUGGGAGACGCAACAACAUUAGCAAUCAUGGGUGUGGAUAAGCAGGCUAAGCCUUGGAAGGUCAGUUGCAACUGAUGUUGCCUGCAAGCUGUAACUUGAAAGUCACUUGCAGGGCGAGCAUAUAUCUACGAAGACCGUUUGAAGUUGCUGCAUUUGGAAAAGAGUACUACUGCCUG
Molecule: long non-coding RNA, 806 nt
Organism: Papaver somniferum (opium poppy)
Lineage: Eukaryota; Viridiplantae; Streptophyta; Magnoliopsida; Ranunculales; Papaveraceae
Exons: 8
Source: RefSeq, a predicted model, not a curated record